This 66-nucleotide transfer RNA is filed under the name Longpotamon yangtsekiense. RNAcentral's name for it is "tRNA-Ser". The record is from RNAcentral. Lineage: Eukaryota; Metazoa; Arthropoda; Malacostraca; Decapoda; Potamidae.
AGAAUAUUAUGUCAAUAAGGAAACUUCUAAUUUCCUAAAAAGCAGUUAAACUCUGUUUAUAUUCUA